GUUUGUUUACGAAGGCUGGUUACACCGUUUGGUUUUAGACCACUAGGACCCGGGUUCGAUUCCCGCAUUGGACA
Non-coding RNA from Cordylochernes scorpioides, 74 nucleotides. The record is from the annotation of a GenBank genome assembly. NCBI's taxonomy places the organism in Eukaryota, Metazoa, Arthropoda, Arachnida, Pseudoscorpiones, Chernetidae.